This is a long non-coding RNA of Humulus lupulus (European hop), 344 nucleotides long. RefSeq lists it as uncharacterized. Lineage: Eukaryota; Viridiplantae; Streptophyta; Magnoliopsida; Rosales; Cannabaceae. The record is from RefSeq and is a predicted model, not a curated record. The transcript is spliced from 2 exons.
UUAAAAAAAAAAAAAUUAUAUAUAAUUUGUUCAUGAAUAUUUGUCUUUCCAAGGCAUUGAAAAACGCUUCUUUGACUGUGCGAUUGGAAGAACAGGAGAUUGGGAUUGCCGAAACAGAUCUGUUCCAGAAGAAGCCAUGGCUAAUCCUGCUCACGAGCAGAGCACAGAGGGGUUAACAUCACAUAUGUCCUAUUCCCUCUAGAGAUAUAUUAGUCCACUCUCCACCACUAUGCUUGACUUGAGCUGAUAUGGAGCUUUGGAGGAGCUGACUUGACUUGAUUUCCCAUUCACUUGAAACAAUAAAUUAUACCAUUACUUGUAUAUAUUAUUUUUGGCAAUUAAAA